GACGAACGCUGGCGGCGUGCUUAACACAUGCAAGUCGAACGGUGAAGCGCCUUCCUUUUUGGUGGGUGUGGAUGAGUGGCGAACGGGUGAGUAACACGUGAGUAACCUUCCCCCUUCUUCUGGAUAACCGCAUGAAAGUGUGGCUAAUACGGGAUAUUCUGGGUCUGUCGCAUGAUUGGUCUGGGUAAGAUGUUGUUUCUGGGGGGGAUGGUCUGGCGGCCUGUCGGCUGGUUGGGGGGGUGAUGGCCUACCAAGGCGGGGAGGGGUAGCCGGCCUGAGAGGGUGGACGGUCACACUGGGAGUCAGACACGGGCGGGACUGCUACGGGAGGCAGCCGUGGGGAGUAGUGAACAGUGGGAGAAAGCCUGAUGCAGCGACGACGCGUGUGGGAUGGAGGCCUUCGGGUUGUGAACCUCUUUCGCUAGUGAAGCAGGCCUGCCUCGUUCGUGGGUGGGUUGACGGUAGCUGGAUAAGAAGCGCCGGCUAACUACGUG
Molecule: ribosomal RNA, 494 nt
Filed under: uncultured bacterium
Lineage: Bacteria
Description: partial 16S ribosomal RNA
Rfam family: Bacterial small subunit ribosomal RNA
Source: RNAcentral